Molecule: non-coding RNA, 829 nt
Organism: Triticum urartu
Lineage: Eukaryota; Viridiplantae; Streptophyta; Magnoliopsida; Poales; Poaceae
Source: RefSeq, a predicted model, not a curated record
UCCAACCUUGUAGCCCACCCACCCGACCAACACGUUUCCACCAGGAGGUUGCCGACGCCGCCCCACCCCGUGCGCCGCCGCCCCUGCCUCCCCCAGCGUGCCGCCACCCCCUCCUCCGUCGCGCCGCUGCCCCCGCAUCAUCCAGCAUGAGGCCACCCCCUCCUCCUUCGGUGCGCCGCAGCCCCUGCCUCCUCCAGCGCUCAGAUCCGUGGGAUCCGGCGGUUGCUCACGGCGGUGCUGCUCCGGUUCAGAAACGAGGUUCAGCUUGCUGGUUCCUACCUCCACUGCACCGGACAAUAGAGAGAUAAAAAAAAGUUUGACGCUUACUUAUUUUUCUACAGCGUCAGAUUCAAAAAGUUCAGCUUCGCCCCUGGUUGAAGUUCAGUUGUCACUGAAGCUUAUGUUGUUCAUGACCGUGUGGCUGUAGAACAUCCAUGCAUGUCGAGUAAUUUUCUCAUGCCAGUUCAGUUACAAUAGCAACUCCAGUGUGGCAGUAGGCGAUGGUGAAAACUGAAGUCUGAAACGAGUGUUGCUGAGUACAUCUGGCAACAUAUAUUCUGAAGUUUGUUGGUGAAAAACAAAUGCUAGAACAUCAGUUGGUGUCAUUGGGGUCGUGCGGGCAAGCAACAUUCUCCCCCUGGGUGUACUCUCUCUGUCUCUUUCUCUUUGCAAUUCUAAUCUAUUUGUAGAUUCUAUCUCACAUACCUGACCAUAGUAGCAGACUAGUAGUGUUGUAUGGUCAGCUGCAUAAGGGAGUUUGUGGAGUGCACUACUAUGUCUAGUUGAACUCACAUGGAUUACUUUUAUAAGUCUAAACUACUUUUGGAAA